UGGACUUUUUACCUAUAAAAAAAUUCUUUGUAAUGAGAAAAAGAAUAACCUUGAAAAUUACUUGGCGUAAAGAAAAGGAUAGAAAACUUGAAAUUGAUCUUGUAAUGAAGAAUUGUAACAAUAGAUAUCCCAUUAAAAAACAUUCUUUGAAACAACACGUGUAAGAAAACAAAUCAUCUUUUGCUUUGUAUGAGUAGAAUCAAACAGAUAUUUUUAAUAAUAAAAUACUUUAAGUUUUUUCUACUAAUAUAAUGAAAUGAAAACUUAAGAAAAAUGUUGCUGGCAAGCUACUACGGCAUGUAGACAAAUGUCCCAAUGCCUGGUCAUCAUAAAUCCCUCAAAGGUUUUUAGUGUCUUAAUAGUAGUACAACAUAAUAAUGGUUAGGAAGAGAAAGGAACCCCCAAUGUGACAUCAUUGUGCCACCCUUGAUGCAAGAUGGCAUCAUUGCACUACCCAACAUAUAGAAUUCGCUUCAUCAACCAUCUUUCCAUCACUCCCUAUCAUUCCUAGUCCCAUGUCAUCCUCAUAAACUAUAAUUUUUCACAAACUAACAAACACUUGCUAGUUCCCUCCUUAAACCCAUAAAUAUCGUAACACACCUAUUACUAAUCAACAAAUACAGAUGAACAAAGACAUUUAAGGCGUUACAAAUCAAAACAGGAUAUGCAAGGCAUCAGUGUUGGCUCAGUUGGUGUACUAGGCGGGUGUUGGCAAUGACUUAUAAGUUGGUCAAACCAACUUGUGUGUUUGGGAGCUACUUAUUUUUCAACUUAUAAGUUGGUUUUUAAGUCGAAAAAAAUAAGUAACUAUUUACGACUUAUUUUAAAAUAACUUAUAAGUCAUUUUAAAAUAAGUUAGUUUGACCAAAAGUAAUGUCUAUUUUACUGCUCUUCUCUCUUUUUAUUAAUGUCUCUUUUUAGUAAUCUUUAAAUUAUUUUAAUUUAUAAGUAAUUAUGAGCCGAACACUUUUAUAACUUGUUUUAACUUAAUUUUUGACGUAUAAGUCAAAUUGAUGCCGAACACUUUUACUUAUAAGUUAAACUAUAAGUUAACUUAUAAGUUGUUUUAAGUACUGACUUAUAAGUAAAAGCGCUCGGCAUCAAUUUGACUUAUAAGUCAAAAAUUAAAUUAAAACAAGAUAUGAAGGUGUUUGACUCAUAACAUAUAAAUUAAAAUAAAUGUAAAGAUUACUAAAUGACUUAUAAGUUAAAAUAAAUGUAAAGAUUAUAAAAAGGACAUUAAUAAAAAAAAAGGGGCAAAAUAAACAUUAUAUAAGUCAUUUUAAAAUGAGUUACAAAUUUGUACUUAUUUUUUUAAAGUUAUAAGUAGAAAAAUAAGUCAUUUCCGAACAGGUGAAUAACAAAUGACUCCGAAUAGGCUCUAUACCCCUCCACCAAAGUAGCAAAAAAAUAAAAAUAAAAAACAUUAAAAUAUAUAAAUGAAAUCAGGUUGUUCACUAAUAUUAUGUCAUCAUUUUAGACUCACAAAGAGACUACUAGCGAUCUUGACAAGUCUGGCAGAAGGUACCGUGAGACAGCUCGCAACACGACCGGGCGCUGACGGUGAGGUGGGAUGUGAGGCGAGCUCCGGCAAGUAACGGUAAAAGUGACUGAGCGCAUCCGAGUUCACCCAAAUUCCUAGCCCACGAAAACAAUUAUCAAAUGGUGAAUUUAACAUUAUGAAAAUUUCAAUUAUAAUAGAACCCUAAGGAAAAUGUGAAAUUGUAAAUAUAAAUUAGGAUUUUAUUAAAAUGGACCUAGGAUUGGUGAAGGAGAUCCGGCGGGAUUGGACGCGAGGGGAGGAUAACAACGGCGGACGGAGGCGGGGGAGAGGUGGCGACGAUGAGCGGAAGGAUGAAGACCUUACCGAGGACAUUAGUGUUCUGGAAAACGAACCACGCCAUGCCAUUUCUAACUCUUUCUGUAACGGAAUCACCGCAGAGGAAGUCGAAUUGCGAGAAGUGAGGGUUUUGUGAAGGGUUUAAGGAAAUGGUUGACUUGGGUUGUUAAACGUAGUAAAGUACUAGUGAGUAAUGAGGUUUGCCGUGUAUCGUUGGACUGGUGGACUAGUUUAAAA
This 2077-nucleotide long non-coding RNA is filed under the name Panax ginseng (ginseng). Its description in RNAcentral is "long non-coding RNA (PGIN_LNC007258)". The record is from RNAcentral. Lineage: Eukaryota; Viridiplantae; Streptophyta; Magnoliopsida; Apiales; Araliaceae.